UUAAACCGCAUCCUUAUCUCGUUCGUGCCCCCAAUUUUUCGCUCCACUAAUCACGAUCCCUGCCUUCCUCCUACGACCUCAGAGAUGACCUCGCCCUCGACCAACCUGCACACACAAGUUGCCCAAGCCCAGGGGCAGGAUUCGAGCAGCCGUCGGUCUCAACGACGCAGGAAGAGGGCACUAUUCCUCCAACACGUAUCGCAGCACCGGCGUCCAUGCUCAAGGUCGGCGGAGCUGAUUUCCGUUCGCACCAGUUGGAGCCAAUAGCCGUGGCGUGCAGCGGCCACGACGACAAGAUCAAGUUCAGGCAAUCUUGGAUUCUCGAUAACCAACAAAAGCAGAUUUAUUUUGUAGUUCUCCUGCCGGAUUCUCUUCGUGUCUUUGUAUUGGUUUCUCUGAGCAUGUCUCUUUCCGUUUCUCCGUAUGUAGGAUGCGGUGACAACUGACAACUAUGUCAGCGAGCAUAGCAGCCCGCGCAAUGGAGGCAGCCAGAUCUGGAGGUUAGGUCUCCGCCGGCAGGAGCUGAGGCGUCAUUAACCACCAAUACCACGUAUCACUACGCCACGGGCUCGCGCCGUCGCUGCUUCGGGAUUUGGACACGCUGGACUGUAAUUGGGAUCACAUUUUUCUGUAAUUCUUGAUUGCAAUCCAUGAAAUCUCUGCAAUGCUGAAUAUA
Molecule: long non-coding RNA, 676 nt
Organism: Lolium perenne
Lineage: Eukaryota; Viridiplantae; Streptophyta; Magnoliopsida; Poales; Poaceae
Source: RefSeq, a predicted model, not a curated record